Molecule: ribosomal RNA, 246 nt
Filed under: Escherichia coli
Lineage: Bacteria; Pseudomonadati; Pseudomonadota; Gammaproteobacteria; Enterobacterales; Enterobacteriaceae
Description: partial 23S ribosomal RNA
Rfam family: Bacterial large subunit ribosomal RNA
Source: RNAcentral
GUGGACGCAUCACUGGUGUUCGGGUUGUCAUGCCAAUGGCACUGCCCGGUAGCUAAAUGCGGAAGAGAUAAGUGCUGAAAGCAUCUAAGCACGAAACUUGCCCCGAGAUGAGUUCUCCCUGACUCCUUGAGAGUCCUGAAGGAACGUUGAAGACGACGACGUUGAUAGGCCGGGUGUGUAAGCGCAGCGAUGCGUUGAGCUAACCGGUACUAAUGAACCGUGAGGCUUAACCUUACAACGCCGAAG